AACAUAGCUAUUCCCUAAUAAAGAUGGACCUUAAAUUUCUACUUCCUUUUCACCAGAGCUAAAAAUACGGUGAAAGAUGUACAACAAGAGAAACACACAACACAUUUUCCAUUUUCGAGCUUCCUCCUUCGCUUUUCUCGUUGCUUCAACGUGCACAUCUGGAACCUCAAUCAGCUCAGCCAAGUGUUCAUCGUCUUUAAGCUUGAAACGCCUAAGCAGUCCAUUAAUGGUGGACUUGGCUCUUGCAUCCAUCUCGGCUUCACUCCAACGAAAAAAGUUACAAGAACCAGUUGCACACGUCAAGAACUUGCGCCCCGGAUUGUACUCGGUCCACGAUGUCUUCUCGAUCGCCCAGUUGCCGCACUAACACUGUUGAUUCAUUGUAAUCGCUUUGGGGGAGAUGAAUAAUUA
RNAcentral lists this long non-coding RNA (411 nucleotides) under Daucus carota (carrot). Its description in RNAcentral is "long non-coding RNA (DCAR_LNC006316)". The record is from RNAcentral. Lineage: Eukaryota; Viridiplantae; Streptophyta; Magnoliopsida; Apiales; Apiaceae.